RNAcentral lists this ribosomal RNA (462 nucleotides) under uncultured Glomus. RNAcentral's name for it is "SSU rRNA". It matches the Rfam family "Eukaryotic small subunit ribosomal RNA", at positions 624 to 1081 of the family's 1831-position model. The record is from RNAcentral. Lineage: Eukaryota; Fungi; Glomeromycota; Glomeromycetes; Glomerales; Glomeraceae.
AAGCUCGUAGUUGAAUUUCGGGAUUGACACAUCGGUCGUGCCUUAAGGGGUAUGAACUGGUGUAGUCAAUUUCUCACCUUCUGGAGAACCGCGAUGCCCUUAAUUGGGUGUCACGGGGAACCAGGACCUUUACUUUGAAAAAAUUAGAGUGUUUAAAGCAGGCAUUUUGCUUGAAUACAUUAGCACGGAAUAAUAAAAUAGGACGGCAUGAUUCUAUUUUGUUGGUUUCUAGGAUCACCGUAAUGAUUAAUAGGGAUAGUUGGGGGCAUUAGUAUUCAAUUGUCAGAGGUGAAAUUCUUGGAUUUAUUGAAGACUAACUACUGCGAAAGCAUUUGCCAAGGAUGUUUUCAUUAAUCAAGAACGAAAGUUAGGGGAUCGAAGACGAUCAGAUACCGUCGUAGUCUUAACCAUAAACUAUGCCGACUAGGAAUCAGACGAUGUUAAUUUUUUAAUGACUCGUUC